AAAAAUAAAAAAUAGUAACUUUUUAUUUUUACAUAUUUCGAUCUUACAUUCGGCCAAAACUCACUAAGGAGCUCUUUCAAAAUCUCCAAAUUUCCCCCUCUGGUAGUAGCAUGAACAACUCUAUUUAUCAUCUCCCACUUAAAAACAGAAGGGAUCUCCCCAAUUUGCUCCUCCAUCUCUCCACCUUUGUCGGUGGAGAACCUUGGAGAGACUACAAAAUAAAAAACAAGCCUAAAAACCUCACAAUUCUUUCUCCUGGCAGCAACAUAAAGUAUAUCAGUGACAUCAUAUUCUCCUUCUCCAAAAACA
RNAcentral lists this long non-coding RNA (309 nucleotides) under Vitis vinifera (wine grape). RNAcentral describes it as "long non-coding RNA (VVIN_LNC005817)". The record is from RNAcentral. Lineage: Eukaryota; Viridiplantae; Streptophyta; Magnoliopsida; Vitales; Vitaceae.